Molecule: long non-coding RNA, 6236 nt
Organism: Mustela lutreola (European mink)
Lineage: Eukaryota; Metazoa; Chordata; Mammalia; Carnivora; Mustelidae
Exons: 2
Source: RefSeq, a predicted model, not a curated record
UCCCUUCUUGGUUUUAUUUUUGUGCUUGUCAUCUACCCCACCUAAUACUUAAAAAGUGUUUUACUUCCUUGUGUUUAUUUUCUCUAUUUUUCCCCCACAAUCCUGGCCCCACAGUUGUGAGGACAGACACUCUCAUUUUGCCCCCUGUGGUAUCCCCGGUAUUUAAAAGAGAGCCCAGUGUGUAGCAGGUGCUCAAGAAAUAUCUGACUGUGUGAGCAAAUCAGCGAAUGCCCAUGAUCCCGGGCAGCGCCUUUAUUCUGCCCUUCUGUAUUUUCUCGUCCUACACAUGUCCACAAAACAAACACAGAGCGCCUUCCGAGCCUCCCUGCCUGCUCUCUGGGCUGCCGGGGUGCUGCCUGUGACUGACACCCGCCCGCGGGCAUGUCCCUUGGCCGCCUCCCGUCUCGGCUGGCUCUACGCUGCUCCCUGCAACCUUUGAGACACAUUCUCUGGACAUCUGAGCUUAAGAGGUCCCUGUACGGCCACAUGGAUGUCCUUCCCCCCUCCUGAUGGGCAGCUAUUGUAAGACUCUUCCAGGAUGAACACAUCUGGUCCACGGUCAGUUCCAUAAUUGUUUGCAGAGAAAGGUUUGCCUGUAUUUUCGGUCUGGCCGAGCAGUCUGCUAGCCGAUCUCCCACAGCCAUUUCUCUCUUUUAAUUCACAAGCCUCACUCUUCAGCUUAAAAUUCCCUAUUGGACAACAAGGCCCUCUGUGAUCUGAUCUUCACAUGCUGCUCUGACCUCCUUGAUCCCUCCACUAGGUUCCUCCAAUGCCAGCUUGCUCGCUGUCCCUCGACCGUGCCCUGGGGCCGCGUUGUUCCCUCUGCCUGGGCCCUUCUUCUGCUGGGUCCCCCAAACCGCCUCCCACACAUCCCUCAGCCUUCUCUGAACUGCUCCCGGCUCUCAUGCUGUGGCUCUUCACAGUGUUUCCACGGCGCAAUCUCAAGCUAUCUGUUCGUUACCUAAUUUUGUUUACUUCUUUCUAGCCCCCCAGCCCCAGGACAUUCAGUCUGUCUAUUCGCGGCUCUGGCCUCCUGUCUACACGGUGGAAGCACACUGUGGAUGUGAAGCUGGUCGGAGCUACUGGGAUGAACAGCUGAAAAAACGCAAGCAUUCCUCCUCCACACGCAGGCCUCCUCCAAGGACAUCACACAGUCCCGGCUUCCCCACUCAUCUUGCCUUCACGAUUUCUCCAUUCCCAGCCAGAGUCUCCACUCGGACAUCUGACCCACAGGCCAGGAACCCAAAGUUCACACUUUGGCACGAUCCACGUACAUCACUUCCCAUGGUCUUCUUUCUCGCCCAGAUCAGGACUUUUAAUUAGAAAGAGGGACAGAAAUACCACUCAUUUCCCGAAGUCAUGGUUCCCUUAGCAAUACUUCAAAGUCAUUUAAGAAGAACGUGACCCCUCUGGGACUGCCUAAUCCCAAUAAUCCACUUGUACGACUCCAAAGACACACGCCAGUGAGUCACAUUCUUCCACUAGCUGACCUCUCACCACGGCCCGGGAUGCCUGUCCUCCUCUGGGAAGCAGAGUUCCUAGAUCCUUCCUUCCUCCUGCUGGCGUUGGGUAGAGAACAUCAGGCCUGGAAACAGGGGUUUUGAAGUCGCAGCUCGGUCUUCAAGUGACCUCGGCAAAAUCCCUCAACCUCACUGAAUGUGCUUCUUCAGCUGGACUCUGCAGGAGAAGCUGCAAGGGCUGCAUGCAAAGAUGCCUGAGAAGUCCUCUGUGAAGGAGAAGGUCCUGUGUCCGUCAACUGUGGCCCGAGGGCCCUUCUUCUUUCUUCACUGCUUGUGUAUCGCACCAGAUAGCUGGGGAGCACGGGCCAGAAUACAGUACAUCCCCAGGGGAAAACUGCUUCUUGCUGAACACCCAAGACGCCCCAAUUCAUACUUUCCUACUGGUGCUAAUGAUAACAAAGCACAAAGGACAGCGCCUGUGCAACUUUAUUCAGAGAGGUCCACUGUUCUGCUCGAAAGUGAUGAAUCAGAGACUCAGAUACCUCAGAGCUAAUAAUCUUCAGGGGAUGCUUUGGGCUUGGUCUCCAAUAGGCAUAAAGGGAGCAUUUUCCUCCCCCUCAGUGAGAAGCUGAGUGCCCCAUUCAGGGAGGAAGGUAAAAGCCACAGGAAGUCUCAUAUUGCUCCCAGCAAAAACCAAGUCUUAGACAGGGGCACACCACAUGGGGGUUGAGCAGGUCUGGCUGGAGGAUGGUGGGCAGAAGUGUCUAGGUCUUUGGUCCCCACUUCUGCUUCCUACAACCAAUCUCAACAAGAACUUGAAUCCCAGGAGGCUGGGGAGGAAACACCACCUGGGCCUGGCUGGCCAGCGGCAGACACAUGCCUGGAGCCCAGAUGCCACUCAUGGCUUUUAAGAGCUUGGCACAACCCCAAUUCAGCAAUUCACAGAAUCAGCAGAGGCUCUCCCCUGCCUCGCCUUUCUCCACGCCCACCCUGCCCAGACCUUCCUGGAAAAAGCAACACAGAGCUGGCCAUCACCUCAUGCUUCCUUUUUCCUGCCAGCCAUCUGUAUUUCCAAAGGAAUCAAACCCAAAGCCACAGAGCAGUAAAUGGAGGCUGCUUCCUGCUCCUUGAGGAGGCCCUGCACAGGGCAACCCACUCUCCCUCUUCACCAUAAGAGUAUCCAUGUGUUUCCUGUAAAGCAAUACAAGAAUAUUUUGUCUUUUAUUAGAGCUUACUCUUAUUUUUUUAGUAUCUUCUUUCAAGAGGCCUUUUGGUCCUGGUUUCAAAGACUUACGGUUAAGAAAUCUCCCAGAAAUUUCUUAAAUUUAUCUCUGGGUCAAAUCUUAAUACGCUGGGAGAAUGUCACUCGACUGUCAGGGGGGAGGAUCUGAGCCAAGCUUAAUGAACUCAGGCUCAAGUCAGGAACAAGGAUGCGAGACAGCCGUUGUGGCCCCUGGGUGGGCUGGAAAGGGCUGAGAAGUAUCCUGUAUCUACCAGGUGGCUUGAGGGUUCAGAAUUCUCCUUUAAGAUAUUUCUGGGCAGAGCCAACAUCUCUGCCACAUAAGUGCCAUUGCACAGCAGGCCUCAGUUACUUGUAAAUCUACAUUUGGGGGGGGGGGGGACAGGGUGAUAUUGUGAUGCUCUGAGUUCCUGGAUUCCGUGCUAGCAGUUGUCAUCAAUUGAUAUCUUGAUUACGUGAGAAAGUUCCUUGUGGGGCCGAGGCUCUACAAACAAAUGCUACCUGUGUUCUCCUUUUAGUCCUUGGAGCCUUAAGUUAUUUGAGGCCUGGAGGCCCUGAGCUACAUACAAGUUCAUAUUCUUGGGCUAAUACAGUACAAUAGUCUGAAUUCAACCUCAAAUAAUAAGCUUGAAUUGUAAAAGCGUGAUUAGUAUUUGGUGAUCUAAUUUGGAGGUAUAAUGCUGUCUAGCUUGCAUGUAUCUGGCUGUCUCUAAUGAGACAAACAAAUGAAAGGGAGAAUCUUCUGGCUAUCUCUCCGGAAAAGCUUUUUUCCUUAAUGGGGCUCAAGCUCUGUUCCCUGGCAUUGCAGUUAUCCUUGAGGAAAUCACCCAACUAACAGACCCGGAAUCCCUGGGGAAAUGCCUACCUCUCUGCUCCCCAUCACCGGCAUGUCCGAACCAGAUCCUGCCUGGAAUUCUGGAAGCAGUAAUCAUUCUUCUAAUUUGGCCUAGAGACUCCUCUUCCUCACACUGGGUCUGUGCAGGACAGCACAAGGCAUCAGAGCUUGCUCUCACUGCACGAGGCCCAUGCUCCUGGGGAAAGUCCGCUGGCUUAGAGCAGGUCUUGUUAACGCAUUUCAGGAAGCAACAUUUACCCUUCCUGUGUUAUACACACGGAGACUUUUCCUCCUUACACUACUUAAUUUGUUCAAAAUGCUUAUCUCCGUACACUAAACUGCUUUCACAAUCUACUAAUGGGCCCCUACCCACAGCUGAAAAUUUGGGUAAAAGAAAAGGACCUGCUCCUAGUAGCUCCAAGUCAGGAGCUCAUUUCUGGACUAGAUGAGAGGAAUGGGCUCUACUAGAAUCCUUCAUGAAUGUUUACUGAGCACCUAGCAAAUAAUAUAGAUGAAGUAAAGGUCGUCCCUUAACACUGAGGCCCAAAGUUAGGAAUGGAAAAGAACUCACACAGAAGAAGAUGCUUUGAGUCAGUCUUUCAGAAAUGUAACUGGUCAUGUGUGUUUGCAAAACAGAACCAGUAAUAUUUCAGGAUAAAUCAUUCUAGAUGACUUUGAGGGAAAUUUCAGAUUUAGAAAUGAUUUCUGACUCAGUAUCCACUUGGUGUGCAUUAGCACUUGGCUAGGAGAGCUUUGUACUCUAAUCAAUAACAUUUAGAUCUCCCAGAGGUAUGAAUCACAGAUCCUUAUUUUAUGAGCACACGACAUGGAAUGAUUUCUGCUUUCUCAGGGACCAUCUAUUCUGAAACGAACAUGAAUUUCAUUGACACUGGCCUUUAUAUUGUAUGAAACCAAGUCAAUACAUACAAAUCAAGAAGUAACCAAAAUGGACCCCAUCUCCAUGAAUGGUGGUGAGAAAAUAGCAGAUAGAGUGUUCCCUGCCAAGAGGGUUUUACUGCAGUCCAGUUUCUCUGGCUCACAAAGCUUCUGUCUCUUUGGACAUACGGGUAUUUGUACAUGGGAGCACCAAGUCCUGCAGUGUUCUCAUGGGGAAACCACACACACACACCAGGACUCUACCCUACAUCAUUUCAGCACUUCGUUCGAGUAUCUUUGAACUGGCCACAUCACCUGGGGCAGAGCUCAGGUAUCUCAAAGUAGGCAUUAGUUAGUGCUUUUCCAAGUCUUCUGUUUUAGCCCAAAAAACCAUGAGAAUUUUGCAUAAUAAUCAUAUAUAUAACAUUUAUUUCAACACAGAAAAAUAUCCUCUCCUACCCCCAAAAUCUUCAGUUGAAAUUCUCAGUCUUCUGGAUUCUUCUGUUGACCUUCACAUGACUCGAGUCUCAGGGUAAGAAGCACAGGCCUGGGCAAUGGCUGCCGAUCUUUACCAAUGGAAAGAACACCAUAAUCUUGGCUCCAACAUCAAGUUGGCCCCACUGUUUCAGAUGAUGGGUGGGGAAAGGCAACAACUGACUUAACCACUGUUAAAUCUUCUGCUGCCACCUUGGCCUGAACAUUCACAGAAUUUCUAACACACCCAUCACUUGUUGCAUGAUCUUCUUUCUUCUGGAGACUGUUCUAAGCACUUAUAUCUUUUAAAUUUAUGUAAUUAUUUUUUUAAAGAUUUUAUUUAUUUGAGAGAGAGAAUGCACAAGUACACAAGCAGGGGGAGAGGGAGAAGCAGGCUCCCUGCUGAGUAAGAAGCCUGAUGCAGGACUUGAUCCUAGCACCCUGGGAUCAUGACCUGAGCCGAAGGCAGACACUUAAACCACCUGAACCACCCAGGCGCCUCAAAACUUAUGCAAUUGCAAACAAAUUUGCAAGACAGAUAUUAACAUUAACCCAAAGAAGAAAAUGGAGGUCACACACGUUGGAAAUAGAGGUCAAGCUCACUUCCAGGUCUGCCCCAAAGUGCACUGGGUUCUCUGCCAUUCUUGAAGAGCAAUGAAUAUGUGGCAAAUGCCAUAAAUGUAAUGAUAUCCAACAAAAUUGCUUAAUUACUAAUCCUCAUUAUCAGGGUAAAUCAUACAAAUUUUUAAAAAGUCAACCCCCCAACCUCCCAGGUUUUUAAAGUAGUAGGUCACACAGAAGGUUAAACAUACCACCUCCUUAAGCUUUUUCUUCUCUUGCCAAUAUGAUGGAUGUUCAAGAUCACUGUAGAAUUAAGUCUAACCUAAGGCUGAGCUUUCAAAUUGUUCUGUUGACAAUAAAUUGCAGAUUUUAGAUCUUCACACUUUGGUGCCCAGUUUUUCAUAGGGUGAUUCAAGGCCAUGGUAAAAGGAUUAGGUAAAUCUGGGGAGGGAGUAUUUCUUACUCAGGAUGAACCGGAGUAAGAAACCAGCAAGUUGGAUGCCCUGGGAGCAUGGUCCUAACUAUUCCAUGUACUUAUAGGCUGUCUGGGGCCUGGACUAUCCAGGUUAUUGGCAUAAGCAUCAAGAAGGAAGAGAGACACUCAACUCUGACCCACUGUAGGCACCAACCAUCUCCCAUCUUCCACUGUCAGUGCAGUCCACGACCCCUCCUGCACAGAGUCCUUGGCCCACACAAGUGGACAAGCAAGUUCCCAUGCAACAGCAGGAGGAAAACCGGGGGCCAGAAGUCACAAAUCUAAUAAAAGACCCAGGCUGGGGGAAAAAAAAAA